RNAcentral lists this long non-coding RNA (2190 nucleotides) under Homo sapiens (human). Its description in RNAcentral is "HSALNT0083901". Lineage: Eukaryota; Metazoa; Chordata; Mammalia; Primates; Hominidae. The record is from RNAcentral.
UGAGAAUCGCUUGAACCCGAGAGUAAGAAGUUGCAGUCAGCUGAGAUCAUGCCACUGCACUCCAGCCUGGGGGACAUAGCAAAACACCAUAAAAACAAAACAAAACAAAACAAAACAAAAACCUGCUAUUGGAUUUAGGGUCCACCCCGAUAAUCCAGGAUGAGUUCUUCUGAGUUCUUCACCUAGAGAUCCUUCACUCCGUUCUUUACUCUGCUGUAGACUGAAUGUGUAUAUCCCCCUAAAAUUCAUUAUUUGAAAUCCUAACCCCAAAUGUGAUGGUAUUAGGAGGUGGGGCCCUUGGGGGGCGAUUAGUUCAUGAGGACAGAGCCCUUGAGAACGGGAUUAGUGCUUUUAUAAAAGAGGUCUGAGGGAGCUUGGUUGCUCCCUCCACCAUAUGAAGACAAAACAACAAGUCGGCGUCUGUGAACCUGGAAAGUGGCCCUCACCAGACACCAAACCUGCCAGCAACUUCUUCUUGCAUUUCCCAGCCUCCAGAUCUGUAAAAAAUAAUUUUCCAUUGUUUAUAAAUUGCCCAGUUUGUGGUAUUUUGUUAUAAUAGCACAAACGGAGUAAGACAUCCAUGGAUGUGACCCUUUUUCCAAAUAAGGUCACAUUCAGCGGUUCUAGGGGUUAGGAGGUGGAAAUAUAUUUUGGGGGCCAUCGUUCAGCCCACGACAAGCAAUGAUGCAUCUGAAAGGCCUGGUGUGGGAGAAGGGGUCACUACUUACUUGUGCUUCUUUUUGUGCAAUGCACUAUCAUUUCUGGCCUGUGGAUCUAUAGUCAUCAAGCCUGGGAGCGUGUGGCUGGCUACAUCACCUCUCAUGUCUCUGCUGAAGGGCCUUCAUGUUUCAGAGGAGUCUUUCAUCAUGUUGGGGAUCAACUCAAAGCUGUUGUCUGGACAGAGGUGGGUGGAAAGACAGCAGAGGCCCAGCAGGUGUGAAAUGACCUAUGGGCAGGUGGAUUUGCCCACAUCUCCUCGGAGCAUGGGGUCAGUCUGGGAACACAGAUGCCUGCAUGUAGAGUGCUGUGUCAGGAUCUAUGGCCUCCCCUCAGGGUGUUGAAUGUCUUUGACACCUGCUAGGGCAGGAGGAAGCACUACAGUCAUCAAAGAGAAAGUGGAGGCUCAGCAGAUGCUGAAUGAGUAUGAUGCCUGCGGAGUCUGUUAUUCCCAGGUUUCCUAAGCCGUGUGCUGCUGAGGCCUGAAGGGAGGCAGGGAUAUAAAGAAUGGACAUGAACUGGUCCCCAGAUGGAACUCUCUGCUCUGUCUGUCUCUGGGCUUCCUCGUUUAAUCAGGAGACAGUUGGGAGAAUGCAAGACUUCUGUGAGCCUAUGAAAACAUAGGCCUCAGUAAUGGGGCAGCUAGGGAGUUCCAGGUCCCAGUCUCCUGGUCAGCACCUGUAAGGAUCCAUGCUUUCCUCCUGGUCUUGUGGAUUGACUUCCUAUCAGGAUUUCUGAGCCUAGAGUCUCUCCUGAGGAAUUUCCAAAGCCUACAACUCAACGGCAUAUCAUUAGCUGAUCUUAACCUGCUACUACUAUGUUGGGCUCAAGUGACUGCUUUCCUUUUACAAUCAUUGUCUUCUUUGACAGAUGAGAAAAUUGAGGCACAGAGAGCUCAAGAAGCUUGCUCCCAAUCACAGAGCUGAUAAGUAGCAGAUCCAAGAUGCAAAUCCAGGUGAUCUGCCCCCAAGGCUCACACUCCCAGCUACUGCACACAGAACCUCAGAAGCCCAUGCUUCUGGCACAGCUGUGCUGCAAUGAGUUUGUCAUCAGCUCUCAAGAUAAUCGUGGCAUCAGACACAUGGAGAUGUUAACCCUACCGCAAGAAUCCAACUCAUUAGUGAGGCCACCAAUUCCACUGAAAACCCUGGAUGCCCUUUUCCAGGAAGCAUCUGCCUGCCCUCUCAUGAAAUAACUCUCUCCUCCCUCUUUCCUUCCCUCCCUCACCAUCCCGACCCACACCCGAUUUCCCAGAUAGACUUCUUUCAAAGAACUUUCUGUGUCAUUCUGUUCAUAAUGUAAAGAAAAAUAAAUUAAAAUAGGACUACUUCUUUUGUCCCAGAGAUUAGUCUAUAAAGAUUGGCCUUUGUAACAUGAAGAAAGGACAGAGCUCAUGAAAAGUUCAAAAGAGGUGAUUCCCAUAUGAGCUAAAAUUUUUAAAAGUCAUGCAGUGGGGAGGGCCAUAUGAUGGGA